This 3421-nucleotide long non-coding RNA is filed under the name Lactuca sativa (garden lettuce). Its description in RNAcentral is "long non-coding RNA (LSAT_LNC007975)". Lineage: Eukaryota; Viridiplantae; Streptophyta; Magnoliopsida; Asterales; Asteraceae. The record is from RNAcentral.
GGAAGCCAAAUAUGCUAUAGAUUAAGGCUAGGAAGGUACCUUAAGGAUUUGAGGCCUUAAAAUUGAGUUUUGGACCCUUAAUCUUUGGAUUUAGGAGAGAGGUUAGAGAGAGAGUAGAGAGAGAAGGAAAAAGCUUCAAAUGAGAGGUUAAACAUGUUUAUAUAGUUCCUAAAACUUGGACACGGUGGAAUUCUACCCGAUACCGGCCUUAAACGAAGCUUUAGGUCGCACCCGAUUGAGUUUCCGUCACCCGGCGGGGACGUUUCUAAAACUUAUGUAACAAUGUUUUUGGGCUGAUUUCUUGAGUUCCUAAAUGGAUUGGACACUCAUUGAGUUAAAAUAAACAUAUAAAUUUUACUAACUAAACCCAAAAACGAUAUCGGCACAUUUCGAUUUCCGACGAGUUAUACGGGUAGAAUGGGUUUUCGGCGAUGAACAACUUCGGGUUGUUACAGAGAGAAUGCCCCGUUUGUGCAAGAUAGUUGGGGAUUAUUGACCAGAUGCGGUCGGGUAUGGGUUCCGAUGUCUGGUUAGGUUAGAUACACAGUUAUGGAGGAGGCUCACAAGUCUCACUUCUCUAUUGCAUGAAGCGAGAGAUCGCUUGGUACGUCGAGAGGUGCUUGACCUGUAGGAUGGUAAAGGCCGAACAUCAGAGGCCACAUGGUAAGCUGCAUCCCCGAGAGAUUUCAAUGUGGAAAUGGGAACAGAUCACGAUGGACUUCAUUACCAAGCUACCGAGGACGACGAAGGGGUUUGAUGCUAUAUGGGUCAUCAUGGAUCGAUUGACCAAGAGUGCCCAUUUAUUGGUCAUACGGGAGAGUUCAUCGGUCGAGAAGGUGGCUGGAGUGUAUGUCCGUGGGGUUGUUGCUCACCACGUGGUUCCAGUCUCUAUUAUUUCCAACCGAGAUGUUAUAUUUACAUCCCGUUUUUGGAAGACAUUCCACGAGAAACUGGGCAUGCGGCUGCAUUUUAUCACAGCAUAUCAACUGCAGACCGACAGUUAGAGCGAGCAGACCAUUCAGACCCUUAAGGACAUGUUGAGGGCGUGUGUUAUUGACUUUGGUAGGAGCUGGGAUUCCCACCUAGCCCAUGCAAAGUUUGCCUACAACAACAAUUAUCAUUCCAGCAUUGACACUCCACCUUUUGAGCUGUUUUAUGGGCGGAGAUGUUGCACCUCGGUCUGUUGGGGUGAGGUUGGACACAGGGUGAUGGGACAGACUGAGGUAGUCUUGCAAACUACCGAGAAGAUUCAACAAAUUAGACAACGAUUGUAGACUGAUCAAAGUCGACAGAAGAAUUACACUGACAGACGCUGAUCAGAGUUAGAGUUCCAGGUUGGUGACAUGGUACUACUGAAGGUCGCGCCUUGGAAGGGUGUGAUCCGAUUCAGGAAGAGAGGGAAAUUAGGUCCCUGAUACAUUGGGCCAUUCAGGAUCAUUUCCAGCGUUGGCUAGGUAGCAUACAUGCUAGAGCUACCAAAGGAGCUUAGUCGGAUCCACAACACUUUUCAAGUUUCACAAUUGCAAAAGUGCAUUAUGGAUUAGGAUUUAGUAGUAUCAUUGGAUGACAUUUAGGUCGAUGAGCACCUAAAUUAUGUGGAGAGACCUAUGGCCAUUCUUGAGAGAAAGAUGUCGGUUCUACAGAACAAGGAGAUACAUUUGGUAAAGGUAUAGUGGGAGCAUCGGAGGGGAUCCGAGUGGACGUGGGAGCUCGAGUCCGAGAUGCAGGAGCAUUACACAGAUCUAUUUACCGCAUCAGACUUCGAGGAUGAAUUCUAGGUCAAGUGGGGGAGAAUGGGAACAUCCCGAGAUUUUACAGGUAAUUCCGAACCUUCUUUACUAUAAUUAUUUCGUCAUUUGUAGUCCUUGGGGUUGGAAUUGUAGAGGCAAGAUAAGUAUAAGGGAGAAGGUUGCAACCUUGGAUCAAGAAAGAGUACACUGAGCGUACAUAAGAGUACGCUAAGCAUACUAAGGUCCGCCUUAGUAUGUUGGGCGUACAAUUGUGUAUGUUGGGCGUACUUAUGUCAAGAUGAAACCCUAAUAUUUGGGGUUUCGGGGCUAUAUAAGCAACCUUAUGAGCUCAUAACCCUCCCUUAACUCAAUCCCAAUACUUAGAGACGUUUUCCCAAAAUGCUAGCCAUUUCCUUGAGUAUGUGACAUUAUAGUGUGCAUUUGGAGUGUUUGGAGAAGAAGGUGUUGCAUCAAGGAGUUGGAGAAUAAGAUCAAGCUUCUAAAUCUGAAAUUGGUUGGUGCCCUACAAGUUCCAGAAGGUAAAAAGCUUCAAAAGUUGCACAUACAUUUUGUAGAUCUUACUAUUUUGNAUGGAGUUUACGGCCCAAGAACAAGCCUUGGCCGUAAACUCUUAGAAAUCCCACAAAUGAUGUGUUUAAGGCCCUUAAACUAUUUUUGGUUGGUCCUUUGAUUUAUUCCAAGGCUUUUGGUGGUGUUGGAUGGCUUUCUAACACCUUAGAAUUGAAUUUAUGCCUUGUUUUGGGGAGUUUACGGCCCAAGCACACACCUUGGCCGUAAACUCACAUAAGUCCCUCAAAAGUCAUGUUUCAAGUGUCCAAAUGCUAAAACCAAUGUCCUAUAAUUCAUAUCUAAGCCAUAGUAGUGAUUUGGAAGGGUUUAAGGGCAUGAAAAACCCCAUUUACAUGAGUUUACGGCCCAAGCUUAUGCCUUGGCCGUAAACUCCUUCAAAUGACUCAAAAUCAAAGUUUUAAAUGUUCUAAGUCCAUAUCUUGAAGUCCCUUAGCCAUAUCUAAAGUCCAAAUGAGUUUAGGAAGGAGUUUAAGGGCUUAAAACCCUUCAAAAUGGUGUUUACGGCCUAGGCAGCCUCCUGGGCUGUAAACUCACAUAUGAUGUCCAAUUUCAUGAUUAAAUGUCAAAUUUGGAAGCCAAAUAUGCUAUAGAUUAAGGCUAGGAAGGUACCUUAAGGAUUUGAGGCCUUAAAAUUGAGUUUUGGACCCUUAAUCUUUGGAUUUAGGAGAGAGGUUAGAGAGAGAGUAGAGAGAGAAGGAAAAAGCUUCAAAUGAGAGGUUAAACAUGUUUAUAUAGUUCCUAAAACUUGGACACGGUGGAAUUCUACCCGAUACCGGCCUUAAACGAAGCUUUAGGUCGCACCCGAUUGAGUUUCCGUCACCCGGCGGGGACGUUUCUAAAACUUAUGUAACAAUGUUUUUGGGCUGAUUUCUUGAGUUCCUAAAUGGAUUGGACACUCAUUGAGUUAAAAUAAACAUAUAAAUUUUACUAACUAAACCCAAAAACGAUAUCGGCACAUUUCGAUUUCCGACGAGUUAUACGGGUAGAAUGGGUUUUCGGCGAUGAACAACUUCGGGUUGUUACAGAGAGAAUGCCCCGUUUGUGCAAGAUAGUUGGGGAUUAUUGACCAGAUGCGGUCGGGUAUGGGUUCCGAUGUCUGG